AGGGAUGUUGUUUAGUGGUAAAAUGCUUGCCUAUUAAGUGCGCGGCCCUGGGUUCCAUCCCCAGUAUCUCAA
Molecule: non-coding RNA, 72 nt
Organism: Ictidomys tridecemlineatus (thirteen-lined ground squirrel)
Lineage: Eukaryota; Metazoa; Chordata; Mammalia; Rodentia; Sciuridae
Source: Rfam